RNAcentral lists this transfer RNA (75 nucleotides) under Cordylochernes scorpioides. Its description in RNAcentral is "tRNA-Thr". The stretch from base 9 to 66 matches the Rfam family "tRNA", at positions 8 to 63 of the family's 71-position model. Rfam says of the family: Transfer RNA (tRNA) molecules are approximately 80 nucleotides in length. Their secondary structure includes four short double-helical elements and three loops (D, anti-codon, and T loops). Lineage: Eukaryota; Metazoa; Arthropoda; Arachnida; Pseudoscorpiones; Chernetidae. The record is from RNAcentral.
GUCCAACUUAGCCUAGUGUACAUGGCAUCUGCCCGGUAAGCGGAACACUGUGGGUUCGAUUCCCAUCCCUAGACA